Molecule: ribosomal RNA, 486 nt
Filed under: uncultured bacterium
Lineage: Bacteria
Description: bacterial SSU rRNA
Rfam family: Bacterial small subunit ribosomal RNA
Source: RNAcentral
UCGAGCGGCAGCGCGGGGGCAACCCUGGCGGCGAGCGGCGAACGGGUGAGGAAUACAUCGGAACGUACCCGAGAGUGGGGGAUAACGCCGCGAAAGCGGCGCUAAUACCGCAUAUUCUCUUUGGAGGAAAGUGGGGGACCGCAAGGCCUCACGCUCACGGAGCGGCCGAUGUCCGAUUAGCUAGUUGGUGGGGUAAAGGCUUACCAAGGCGACGAUCGGUAGCUGGUCUGAGAGGAUGAUCAGCCACACUGGGACUGAGACACGGCCCAGACUCCUACGGGAGGCAGCAGUGGGGAAUUUUGGACAAUGGGGGCAACCCUGAUCCAGCCAUGCCGCGUGCGGGAAGAAGGCCUUCGGGUUGUAAACCGCUUUUAGCCGGGAAGAAAAGGCGAAGGUUAAUACCUUUCGUUCUUGACGGUACCGGCGGAAUAAGCACCGGCUAACUACGUGCCAGCAGCCGCGGUAAUACGUAGGGUGCGAGCGUUA